AUGAAGUGUUUCUCCUCUGUGAUGCCCUCUGCCAUUCUACCUUGCACAGGAGCCAGCCAACUAGGACUGAAACCUCUACAAACUGUGAGCUACACUGAACCUUUCCUCCCUCAACCUUGGGCACUGGUAUUUUGUCUCAGCAACAAGAAGACUAAUGAAGACAUGCCCGUUCCUCCCUGCAGCUUCCCUUCAGGGCCUACAACGAUUGGAGGAUAUGUUUGGAAAACUGAGAAAGCGCCAAGAGAAAGUCCCAAAAGAUCUGCAAAAGAAAAAACUGAAAAAGGAAGAAAUGUUAGAAUAGCAGAGAGGAAAAGUCUGCGUUAUAAAAUGGAAAGAUUCACAGGGGGAAGCUUUAACUUCCAAAGUGCGUGUGGAGACUGAGCCUAUAAAGAGGUUAUCAGGUUCCACAAAGGGCUAAGGGGACAGACCUCACAGAUUAGUGUCUUGUACGUACCCUCUGCCAUGUGCGGACCACCUGAACGCUGUUUGUUAUAAGAGUGCACUACCCAGCAGAAACAGGUCCUGCUAGAAAUGUGUCAUACUGCACUUCCAAGAAAAUAAAUGUGUGCUGGUUAAGACACCCAGGCUAUGUCAUCCUGCUAUGGUAACCAGAGCAAAUUAAAAUAGAGCACAUGAAUAUUUUUU
This 645-nucleotide long non-coding RNA is filed under the name Chinchilla lanigera (long-tailed chinchilla). Its description in RNAcentral is "lncRNA (ENSCLAG00000025108.1)". The record is from RNAcentral. Lineage: Eukaryota; Metazoa; Chordata; Mammalia; Rodentia; Chinchillidae.